GACGAACGCUGGCGGCGUGCUUAACACAUGCAAGUCGUACGGUAAGGCCCUUUCGGGGGUACACGAGUGGCGAACGGGUGAGUAACACGUGAGUAACCUGCCCACAACUUUGGGAUAACGCUAGGAAACUGGUGCUAAUACUGGAUAUGUGCUCCUGCUGCAUGGUGGGGGUUGGAAAGCUCCGGCGGUUGUGGAUGGACUCGCGGCCUAUCAGCUUGUUGGUGGGGUAGUGGCCUACCAAGGCGGCGACGGGUAGCCGGCCUGAGAGGGUGACAGGCCACAUUGGGACUGAGAUACGGCCCAGACUCCUACGGGAGGCAGCAGUGGGGAAUAUUGCACAAUGGGCGCAAGCCUGAUGCAGCAACGCCGCGUGCGGGAUGACGGCCUUCGGGUUGUAAACCGCUUUCAGCAGGGACGAAGCUUUUUGUGACGGUACCUGCAGAAGAAGCACCGGCUAACUACGUG
RNAcentral lists this ribosomal RNA (465 nucleotides) under uncultured bacterium. RNAcentral describes it as "partial 16S ribosomal RNA". It matches the Rfam family "Bacterial small subunit ribosomal RNA", at positions 28 to 507 of the family's 1533-position model. The record is from RNAcentral.